This 1538-nucleotide ribosomal RNA is filed under the name metagenome. Its description in RNAcentral is "bacterial LSU rRNA". It matches the Rfam family "Bacterial large subunit ribosomal RNA", at positions 1416 to 2925 of the family's 2925-position model. The record is from RNAcentral.
UGAAACACUGUGCGGUCAUCGGACCAAUCGGCGUGGAACGCGCGACCCUAGCGGGUAGUAGGUAAGCAAUGGAGAGACGCAGGAAGGUAGCCGAACCGCGGCGAUGGUUGACCGCGGGUAAGGGUGUAGGGCGAGGUGUAGGCAAAUCCGCACCUCACAUAGCCUGAGACCUGACACGGACCCGUAUCGGGGAAGUCGGUGAUCCUAUGCUGCCAAGAAAAUCUUCUAGCGAGGUUCAAGCCGCCCGUACCCCAAACCGACUCAGGUGGUUAGGUAGAGAAUACCAAGGCGAUCGAGUGAAUCGUGGUUAAGGAAUUCGGCAAAAUACCCCCGUAACUUAGGGAGAAGGGGGGCCCAGAGGGUGACGGGACUUGCUCCCCGAGCCUGAACGGCCGCAGAGACCAGGGAGAAGCGACUGUUUACUAAAAACACAGGUCCGUGCCAAGUCGCAAGACGAUGUAUACGGACUGACGCCUGCCCGGUGCUGGAACGUUAAGGGGACCGGUUAGCCUCACGGCGAAGCUGAGAACUUAAGCGCCAGUAAACGGCGGUGGUAACUAUAACCAUCCUAAGGUAGCGAAAUUCCUUGUCGGGUAAGUUCCGACCUGCACGAAUGGCGUAACGAUUUCUCCACUGUCUCAACCACGAACUCGGCGAAAUUGCACUACGAGUAAAGAUGCUCGUUACGCGCAGAAGGACGGAAAGACCCCGGGACCUUUACUACAGCUUGGUAUUGGUGUUCGGUACGGCUUGUGUAGGAUAGGUGGGAGACUGUGAAGCGGACACGCCAGUGUCGGUGGAGUCAACGUUGAAAUACCACUCUGGUCGUUCUGGAUAUCUAACCUAGGUCCGUGAUCCGGAUCAGGGACAGUGCCUGGUGGGUAGUUUAACUGGGGCGGUUGCCUCCUAAAAGGUAACGGAGGCGCCCAAAGGUUCCCUCAGCCUGGUUGGCAAUCAGGUGUCGGGUGUAAGUGCACAAGGGAGCUUGACUGUGAGACAGACAUGUCGAGCAGGGACGAAAGUCGGGACUAGUGAUCCGGCGGCUGCUUGUGGAAGCGCCGUCGCUCAACGGAUAAAAGGUACCGGGGAUAACAGGCUGAUCUUGCCCAAGAGUCCAUAUCGACGGCAUGGUUUGGCACCUCGAUGUCGGCUCGUCGCAUCCUGGGCUGGAGUAGGUCCCAAGGGUUGGGCUGUUCGCCCAUUAAAGCGGUACGCGAGCUGGGUUUAGAACGUCGUGAGACAGUUCGGUCCCUAUCCUCUGCGCGCGCAGGAAACUUGAGAAGGGCUGUCCCUAGUACGAGAGGACCGGGAUGGACGAACCUCUGGUGUGUCAGUUGUUCUGCCAAGAGCACCGCUGAUUAGCUACGUUCGGGAGUGAUAACCGCUGAAAGCAUCUAAGCGGGAAGCAAGCUUCAAGAUGAGGUUUCCAUGGGGUUUACCCCGAGAGGCUCCCAGCUAGACUACUGGGUUGAUAGGCCGGAUGUGGAAGUGCGGUAACGCAUGGAGCUGACCGGUACUAAUAGGCCGAUGACUUGACU